CCUACGGGUGGCUGCAGUGGGGAAUAUUGGACAAUGGGCGAAAGCCUGAUCCAGCCAUGCCGCGUGUGUGAAGAAGGCCUUCGGGUUGUAAAGCACUUUCAGUGGGGAAGAAAGCCUUGGGGCUAAUACCCUCGAGGAAGGACAUCACCCACAGAAGAAGCACCGGCUAACUCCGUGCCAGCAGCCGCGGUAAUACGGAGGGUGCGAGCGUUAAUCGGAAUUACUGGGCGUAAAGCGCGCGUAGGCGGUCUGAUAAGCCGGUUGUGAAAGCCCCGGGCUCAACCUGGGAACGGCAUCCGGAACUGUCAGGCUAGAGUGCAGGAGAGGAAGGUAGAAUUCCCGGUGUGGCGGUGAAAUGCGUAGAGAUCGGGAGGAAUACCAGUGGCGAAGGCGGCCUUCUGGACUGACACUGACGCUGAGGUGCGAAAGCGUGGGUAGCAAACAGGAUUAGAUACCCGGGUAGU
RNAcentral lists this ribosomal RNA (464 nucleotides) under Vreelandella stevensii. RNAcentral describes it as "partial 16S ribosomal RNA". It matches the Rfam family "Bacterial small subunit ribosomal RNA", at positions 338 to 794 of the family's 1533-position model. Lineage: Bacteria; Pseudomonadati; Pseudomonadota; Gammaproteobacteria; Oceanospirillales; Halomonadaceae. The record is from RNAcentral.